GGAAUCUUCCACAAUGGGCGAAAGCCUGAUGGAGCAACGCCGCGUGGGUGAAGAAGGUCUUCGGGUUGUAAACCGCUUUCAGCAGGGAAGAACAUCGACGGUACCUGCAGAAGAAGCCCCGGCUAACUACGUGCCAGCAGCCGCGGUAAUACGUAGGUGGCAAGCGUUAUCCGGAUUUAUUGGGCGUAAAGGGAACGCAGGCGGUCUUUUAAGUCUGAUGUGAAAGCCUUCGGCUUAACCGGAGUAGUGCAUUGGAAACUGGGAGACUUGAGUGCAGAAGAGGAGAGUGGAACUCCAUGUGUAGCGGUGAAAUGCGUAGAUAUAUGGAAGAACACCAGUGGCGAAAGCGGCUCUCUGGUCUGUAACUGACGCUGAGGUUCGAAAGCGUGGGUAGCAAACAGG
This 402-nucleotide ribosomal RNA is filed under the name uncultured bacterium. RNAcentral's name for it is "bacterial SSU rRNA". It matches the Rfam family "Bacterial small subunit ribosomal RNA", at positions 358 to 776 of the family's 1533-position model. The record is from RNAcentral.